This is a long non-coding RNA of Hippocampus comes (tiger tail seahorse), 4370 nucleotides long. RefSeq lists it as uncharacterized. The transcript has 2 exons. NCBI's taxonomy places the organism in Eukaryota, Metazoa, Chordata, Actinopteri, Syngnathiformes, Syngnathidae. The record is from RefSeq and is a predicted model, not a curated record.
CACACACACACACACACACACUACAGGAAACAGCUGCGCGUGUAAAAACAGUGACGAGUGACAUGGGGGAUGGAGUCAGUCCGACAACUGUGAUACAAAGUCACUUUAGAUGUCUCGCACACCCACGCGCGCACACACACACACACACACACACACACACACACUUUUAUCGCGCAAACUUGCCAUUUCAUGUCCCAAUGAAGGAACAGAUUCAUUAAAGUGAAGAUGUAGCCUUUCAAAUGAAUCAGCGUCAGCGGCCGCACAUGUCGACCAUCAAACCUUGGGAGGGGGGGGGUUCAGGACCCCGUGACCCUGCCGCUGAACUGCAAUGUCACACUAGCGGAAAACACACAAAGCCGCAAAGCUCCGUUUGGCGAAUGAGCAGGACAUGGACGGGAGGGCCGGGGGAGAGGGGGAUGGCGGACGGACAGGGGAAUUCCCGGAGAUGAAGGGAUAUACAAACACACACUCGCUUCCACAGUCACAUUGACUUUCGUCAGCAGAAAUUACGCGUCCUGAUUAAUGAUGCAGCGGAGACGUGAAAAUAUGAUUUAACCCUUUCAGGGACAGCGAUUACGACAGUGGACGGCUUAUCAGGUUACGGGUUAUCAUUAUUUGUGCGUGAAAGGAUUAAAAUCACGUCUAUAAAGUGAAACAUUGAAUCGGUUUUGCCACGGUGUUAUCAAUCAAUAUGAGAAUGGAGUUUUGUGUGAGUGCGUGCGGUUGAGUAGCGUGAGAGGAAUGCGUCCGUGGCACGUAUGCGCAGAUUAGUGACUUGAUUGAAGCAAAAACCUCCAGACUGCUGCUUAGCUUCCCACGGUUCGUUAUCACCAAGGCCUUUUCACUUCUGCGUGGGGAAAAUCUGGUCGCUACAAUGACAUUUAUGUUGUAAAGGUCUUCGUCGUAAGCAAAAUUGGAAAAUGAAUGAUGUGAAAUCAGGAGUUUGGAAUGUGAGCAUGAUACGGGUGAAAACCUAAACGGGGGUAUGUUGAAGCGUCGUCCGACUGUACCGCUACCUCAGAUGUAUUAUUGUGUUAAACGCAAACACAUUUGACAUCCAUCACUCGAUGAAAUCAAUGGAAUCAAGCGUCGAUGAUUCAAUUAAAGAAGAGCAGCCCUGCUCAUCUCGACAUUUGGAAGUGGACUGAUUCCUGUCCGCCGAUACAUUUUUUUCCCCUUCUUCAUGCUACCAUGAAGCCUAUCCGCAAAAAAGAUCAAAACUGUUCCCAGUAGAACCACGCCGUAUACAUCCAAUGUGUUCAAGGUUCCUGUACUGUACAGCGUGUACUCUGCGCGUCUGUGAAGUUGGCUCUGAAUAUUGCGUCAUCCACUUUCCCACCGGCCCCAGCGACUCUCGUCUUCCCAUGUUUGUUUAAAACCGUGCCUCAUGUCGCCGGGACAGGAUACGGUGACACCGCAGCAGUAAACCAUUAUGUGUGUGUGUGUGUGUGUGUGUGUGUGUGUGUGUGUGUGUGUGUGUGUUUGUGUGAGCGUACACGGCCUUUGUACGUACAUCUGUGGAAGGCGCGCACACAAACACACUUGCACAAGGCUCGCUGCAAAGACAACAUCGUAUAUUUUGAUUCCCAACAGGACUGAAGUGUCAGUCAAAGGUGGUUGGUCGCAAUAUCAAGCAGGGGUGUUAUCAGGGUGUGGUGAAAGGCCUGCAAGUAAACAAAAUGCAUGCACGGGUUUGUUUUUCCUCAACCCCCCCCCUGCCCCUCCUCGACUUCUCCCUUGCCUUCUUUUUGAAAGUUCCCUUCUCUCUUCCCUCCCUCUCUGCGGUGUCUGCCUGUGGCUUGGGUCCAGCCGAGCCUGGGAAAAGCCGACCAAAAAAAAAAAAAAAAAAAGUCUCUGCGGGAGAGCAGCAAGAGAGAGGCAAUGUGGGGGUGGGUGUAAUUCUUGGCGCACAUUCAUUAUGACUUUAGAAAUCUGUUGCAAACUGCAUUGUCAAUUCAUUGCGUCAGGAAGCGGAGAAAAACGACAAGAGUUGAAAGCGGGCGAAAAACAUGCCCUGGCAUGACCUUGGCGGUCUCCUGUUCUUAUCUUGGAUUAGAUACCGUUUAAAAAUGCGGAGGGUCCUCGCAGCAACAAUGAUACGUUGUCUGUUGAGCGAGAAAUGACCGCAAACGUGUAUUUGGCCAACAUGUAUCGGACAUCGUGAGACAUCAUUUUGUCUUUUUCUGGAAGGAUAUUUUGUUGCGGGUGAAGAGAAAGAAGGAAAAUUGGGAGUGGUAGAACAAACUGGAAUUCAUUCGAGGGGCAUCGCCAAUUACUAGCCUGGCAUGAAUAUUAAGCAGGGUACACAUAUACCAAAUAAUUGGCUGAAUGUGAGCCAGAUUCCCCGCAAUCUGAUCAAAGUCAGCAAAAGCCCAUUUAUCGGAUGUCUCUGAAUGAUGAUAAUAAUUAUCUUGCAUGACUGAAAUUCUUUUCAGUCGACCUGACAAAGUUUUUCCACUUGAUAAAAUGUCUCAAGUGGGGCACACGCAAACCAGUAAUCGAGCCAAAAUCAAACAUUCGACCUGCUCUGAAAAACAAUCACUGCUGGCAAUCGCCAUUAUUACUACCAGUUUGAUGUUACAUCACAAAAGAAACACGACACCCUUGCGAUACAACUGCUCUAUUUUUUUUUAUUUUUAAUUUUUGGGGGGUGAGGAGUUGAGACCUUUUCAGCGUUUCCACCGGAAUGCUAAUAUUUUGUGAUUUCUGUCUCUAAAACACCACUUUCAUACAAAGUACAAACAAGCAACCGAAAAGGCUAAUCUGUCCUGAUUUUAAAAAUGACCCCAAAGGCCCAGCAGAAGAUUGUGGGCAAAAAAUAACCCGUCAGCUUCAGCAGUUGUGGACAGACAGCUCUCGAGAGGAUGUGGUACCGGACCAAUCUCUCCCAGCUUCCCCUCAGCAUGACGCUGAGUCCCUAAACUCUUCCUCGGGCACUAAGUGUGUGCCACGCUGUGUGUUUGCUGUGUUCAUUACUGUGCUAGCUAGCUUAGCGCCUAAAAUGCCCCAGUUAGCUCUCAAGCAGCCAGGAAAGCAGGAAAGAUGGGUAACUGUUGGAUGUGGAAGCACAGUUUUUUUUUAAGACCCUUCAUUAAGUGAUUUCAGUAAUUUGUUUCUACAUCAAGGGUAUUUCAUACAUCUGUCACUUUAUGUUAGCUUAUCUCAAUGACUGUUGAAGAUAUGAAAACGUAACCUAUAUUUCAUGAAAGCUAAGUUUUUGUAGCAAAAGCUUAAGAAUCUGAGAAAUAGUUUUCUUAAACAGGUAUUUGGAUUUCAGCUUGUUAAAAAAAAAAAAAAAAAGAUGGCUGCAGGCCUGCGCAGCUGCAGCAUACAGGCCAUAUCAGCGGGGCGCUCCAGAUAAGCCGAGGCGGCGUGACAUAAAGCUGCUCGCAGGCGUCUCGCGCACGUACGGUUUGCGAGGGCGACGCGGAAGUGACCGACCGUCUCACUCGAGAUUGUCUUGUCACUGAUAGAUGCGUAAGAAGGUAGAAGGUCGAGCUUUUCAGCCAAGGGCUUCGCUUCCGUGUCACAGAAAGACCAACUGGCGGGGAAAUAAAAAGUGCAGCGGCAGCUAAAACGGGCGGCUGGUGGAGCGGAGAGAACAAUACAGUCUGUGAUCCUUCCGUGAAACUCAACCUUUUGCUUGCCGUCAAGCAUCUGGCUGGUCCAUCACAGAGGAUUUGUUGGCACUGACAGUACGUUAACUUGCUGAGCAAAGUGCUUCUGCAGCUCUUCUGUUUUUUUUUUCCACGCAAACAUAAAAUGGCAGUUUGAGGAGGCUCCUUUUCUUCCUCAGACAUGAGAGUGUGGGAGACUGUGGGAGAAAUGAUUAUCCGACUGGAAAAACAGACAAGUCGUCGCUCUUAAGUAGACAGACCCCUGUUUCUUUAUCCUCUCCUUUGAACAGAUGUGUGCUUCCAACUUCGGGGGAAGAGUUUGGGGAAGACCCGUUUCUGUUCCAGCACGACUGAACGUAAGGUCUACAAAGGCAUUCUUGGAUACGUUUUGACGGAUGGCGUGAAAUUGAUUGCGGAUUAAUUGCUUCUUGAAGAUGGGGGUCUGGAAACCACAAGUUGAGGUUCAUUCAGUCUCAAGUUGUUUGCUAUCGAGACGAAAAAGCUUUCAGUGGGUGCUUAAACUUUGAUGUGGUCCUUUAUAUUUAUUUAUUUUUUUUUAACCACAAACUCAAUUUUAUCAUAAAUCUUUUUUUUUUUUUAAUUUCAAACAUUCUAUUUUGUAGAGAACGGGGUUGUAAUGAUAGCGGAUUUUUAUUUAUGGUUGGAGUUUAUUUCCUUUUAACUUUUUUUUUUUUAAAUUAAGUUAGUUUUAUUAGUUUUGACAGCGGGUUUGUUUGUGCGAUCUUAAUUGAC